Molecule: RNase P RNA, 418 nt
Filed under: Rhodobacterales bacterium 17-64-5
Lineage: Bacteria; Pseudomonadati; Pseudomonadota; Alphaproteobacteria; Rhodobacterales
Description: RNase P RNA component class A
Rfam family: Bacterial RNase P class A
About the family: Ribonuclease P (RNase P) is a ubiquitous endoribonuclease, found in archaea, bacteria and eukarya as well as chloroplasts and mitochondria. Its best characterised activity is the generation of mature 5'-ends of tRNAs by cleaving the 5'-leader elements of precursor-tRNAs.
Source: RNAcentral
GUUGGGCGACCGCGUCAGGUGCAAAUCUGCCGAGGAAAGUCCGGGCUCCACGGAACGCGGUGCCGGGUAACGCCCGGCGGGGGUAACCCCAGGGAAAGCGCCACAGAGAAGAGACUGCCCUUGCCGCGAACGGAGGUUCGCCUUCGCAAGCGUCAAGGGUAACGGUGAAACGGUGGGGUAAAAGCCCACCGCGGGACUGGCAACAGGACCGGCACGGCAAGCCCCACCCGGAGCAACGCCAAAUAGGGGCCUCGCGGCAGGACUGGUCCCGGAAACGGGAUACCGCUCGCCAGGGACGCCAACGCCCGAGAGGCCCGGGUUGGCAGCUUGACCGCCGUGGUGACACGGUUGGCAGAGGAAUGGUCAUCCAGCCCCGGAUCACGGUCCGGGGGGGACAGAAUCCGGCUUACAGGCUCUC